UAGAAUAUUUUUCUCCGAGCCUUGGAUCCUAAAGUUGCAAUGCUGCUAUGGAUGCAAGGUCUGGACAAAGUCCACGGAGUAGUAGAAGAAAUUCUGUUACUUGCUGUAUUGCGAAGGAGAUGUGAAAAGAAUUGG
RNAcentral lists this non-coding RNA (135 nucleotides) under Dehalobacter sp. RNAcentral describes it as "MoCo sequence". It matches the Rfam family "Molybdenum/Tungsten riboswitch aptamer (Moco RNA motif)". Lineage: Bacteria; Bacillati; Bacillota; Clostridia; Eubacteriales; Desulfitobacteriaceae. The record is from RNAcentral.